GGGAUCCGUCUCCUCUUUCGCCUCCUCCGCUUUGGGAGCCCCGGGCUACUCUUUCACAGCCCCUGUUGCCCUGUGAUCUGUAGGUCCUUGGGGACGCACAGUUAAGAUGACAGGACAUCCUGGAAGCUGGGAAAUGGUAACUUCUUAGACCAAGUCUAGAAACAGUCUGAGGACAAUAACAAUUCCAUUCUAAAAAGAAUCUCCCAACAUUUCUUCUAUCUCAACCUCAACUGCAUCUGCCUGUGAACUUCCAGCUUACCAAGGCUCUAUAUCUUCUGGCAGUGACAAAGGCUCCUUCCAUGAUAUGUAUUCAUUUCCUACCACCGUAGUGGAAGAGAGAUUUUCCCUAUCUUUACAACUGAUAGCAUUUCCAACAGUAAGCUGUGAGAUUCUGCUUGAAAUCACCUCUCAAACAAAUAAAAAACAGACCUGGGAGACAUGCUACACUCAUUCUGCUGAGGAAAUAGGUGGGAUUGUGACAUACAUCUCUGCCCAGCUCCUGAGUGUUUUAGCUCUGUUUCCUGUGUCCAGCUCACAGAUGGGAUUCUGAUAUAUCACUGAAGCCAGCACCUAAAUGAUGUGACUCUUAUCUCCUGCCUUGGUGCUGCCCACAGGGGACAUUGGGACAUAUCACUUGGCCUUGCACCUAGGAUUUGUUUGGAAGGAGAUUGUGAUACAUUGGUGGGUCCAACUUCUCAGUGACAUUACUCUGUUGACUGUGCUCUGCAAGCAGAAAGCACUGUGACACAUUAUUGGGCCCAACACCAAGGUUCUUCCUGCAGUGGAAAUUGUGAUGUAUCACUGGGCUUAACACCAAAGUGACAUUAAUUUUUUGCCUUGGUUCUUCCCUCAGAAGACAUUGUAAUAUAUUGCUGGGCUCAGCACCAAAACGAUGUGGAUUUCCUGUCUGGACCCUGCAUACAGGAGUCCCUGUGACAUAUCUCUUGACUCAUCAACUAUUUGAUGUGACUCUCCUCUGUUCCCUGAGCUUUGCCUAUAGGAAAGCGUCAGCCUGGACUCCAGAGUCAGCCACCCACCCCUGCACAGACAAGGAGAGGUCUCAUUAAGCUUCAGCACAGUCUGGGACCAUAGCUUUUUUUGUAACGAUUUGUUCGGCAUGAGGCCCACUCACAAGGGCCCUUCGUGACUGGACUCAAGGAAAACGAAAAGGCCUACUUGUUUUUGCGAUUUUCUGUUGUUUUUCAAUAACUAUUUCUCAGAAACAGUGCUGGAUGAAUUCCACAAGGGGUUCACACAACCUGUUCCAGGACUUAGUGACCAUUGUUUCUGUCCAUGUUCAUUGAGUUCAAAUUUAAUAUUUAACUUUUCCUCCUCAUUCAGCCUCAAUUUGACACUGAAUCAUAGGAAAAUAUUUUUACAGUUAUACGGGGAAGUCACAACUGGUAUAGAUUACAGAUAGAGCAGAGGAGAAUUAAAAGCACAAUUAAUAGAAACCACACCCACCACGGCCAACGCCAAUGCUAGUUUGACAGCCAGUCCAUGAUGGGGUCCUGAUGGUUAGAUUCUAACUGUUUUACUUGUCCUUGCAUGUCUUCGGCAAGGAGAGUAAUACUGCGAGAACUGUCAGGGAUACACACAACAUUCAGAAUGCAGCAAGACUCAAACCCCUCCUUGGGCUGCGGUAAACAUACCUAAUGCCAUUCGAUUUUGCAACACAACAGUACACAGCUGAACAAGUUCUUCUGAUAACAACAGAAGUCCAGUGCUACUAUCUUAGGAGCUUUUACUAUAUGUGGACUUAAUAUUUUAAUUUGUUGCUGAAGCAGGAUUGUACGAGGGGCAAGGGAGAAUACUGUGAUAGUUUUCCACCACCAGGGAGUCUGGCACGUUCAUAACCAGCUACCUUUGUAAGCAUCUAG
Molecule: long non-coding RNA, 1880 nt
Filed under: Homo sapiens (human)
Lineage: Eukaryota; Metazoa; Chordata; Mammalia; Primates; Hominidae
Description: HSALNT0402551
Source: RNAcentral